This 657-nucleotide ribosomal RNA is filed under the name Triticum aestivum (bread wheat). RNAcentral describes it as "partial small subunit ribosomal RNA". Lineage: Eukaryota; Viridiplantae; Streptophyta; Magnoliopsida; Poales; Poaceae. The record is from RNAcentral.
AUGACGACAAGGACCACCCGCUCAUCACAAGGCAGGCGGCCAGAAAGCCCUGGAAAGAAUGUUGCUGAAAAUUCUGACAGUCAUGAUGAGUACCAGGGAGGCAAUGAUGCUGAGUCUGAUGCUGACUCCGAUGAUGAUAACGAUUUUGAUGAUAUGGAUUAUCGAGUUGUUCAUCAUUUCUGUAACAAUCCUUUUGUUGCUUCAGGCAGUGGUACCGCGAAUGUAGAUAUGGGCAGCGGUCCAGCUGAUGAUGACAUCACACAUCUAGAUGAUGCAACUUUCAAAGCUCAUGAGGACAUAGGACCAGAUGUUGAAGACAUGCCUGUCCGCCCUGUCGAUGAGAACCUCAAUGAGUCUCAGAUCUUGCUCACUGGCACCUCUCAUGCAGCAUCAGUCGGAUCAGGUGAUGGAGGGCUUAGCCAGCAAGGUCUGACAGACACGCAAGCUGAGGUGGCCACUGAAUCUUUUGUCAAGCGGUGUGGUUCUCAGCUUUUGAAAAAAUUGGCUUAUCAGAGGCGCAAGAAACUGAGGCUACCAUCACCCCCCGUUCAGCUUCACCAACUGUGUCUCUCCGUCCAACUUCACCAGUUGUGCCUCCUAGCCCAUCGCAAAGGCCGUCUUCACCAAUUGCACUGCCAGCAGCUGAAAUUCAUUUAG